Molecule: ribosomal RNA, 1202 nt
Filed under: uncultured bacterium
Lineage: Bacteria
Description: bacterial SSU rRNA
Rfam family: Bacterial small subunit ribosomal RNA
Source: RNAcentral
CAGCUAGUUGUUAGAGUAAUAGCUUACCCAGGCCACGACGGUUAGGAAACUUGAGAGGGUGGUCCCCCACAUUGGCACUGAUACACGGGCCAGACACCUACGGGUGGCAGCAGUAGGGAAUAUUGCACAAUGGGCGUAAGCUUGAUGCAGCAACGCCGCGUGCACGUAUGAAGGCCUUCGGGUCGUAAAGUGCUUUUCGGGGAGAUGAGGAAGGACAGUAUCCCCGGAAUAAGGAUCGGCUAACUACGUGCCAGCAGCCGCGGUAAAACGUAGGAUCCGAGCGUUAUCCGAAUUUACUGGGCGUAAAGCGCGUGCAGGCUGGUUCGGUAAGUUGGAUGUGAAAUCUCCCGGCUCAACUGGGAGAGGUCGUUCAAUACUGUCGGACUAGAGGAUGGUAGAGGGAGGUGGAAUUCCCGGUGUAGUGGUGAAAUGCGUAGAUAUCGGGAGGAACACCAGUGGCGAAGGCGGCCUCCUGGGCCAUUCCUGACGCUCAGACGCGAAAGCUAGGGGAGCGAACGGGAUUAGAAACCCCGGUAGUCCUAGCAGUAAACGAUGUGGACUUGGCGUUGGUGGGGUAAAAUCCAUCAGUGCCGGAGCUAACGCGGUAAGUCCACCGCCUGGGGACUACGGCCGCAAGGUUAACUCAAAGGAAUCUGACUGGGGCCCGCACAAGCAGCGGAGCGUGUGGUUUAAUUCUGAUGCUACGCGAAGUACCUUACCCGUGGUUUGACAUACUGGUGGUAUGGGAUCCGAAAGGUGACCGACCCUUCGGGGAGCCAGUACAGGUGCUGCAUGGCUGUCGUCAGCUCGUGUCGUGAGAUGUCCGGUUAAGUCCGGUAAUCGAGCGCAACCCUCGCCGUAUGUUACAUGUGUCAUACGGGACUGCUGGUAUAAAGCUCGGAGGAAGGUGGGGAUGACGUCAAGUCAGCAUGGCCUUUAUAUCCGGGGCUACACACACGCUACAAUGGCCGGUACAAUAGGUUGCAAAACCGCGAGGUGGAGCCAAUCCUGAAAGCCGGUCUCAGUUCAGAUUGUAGGCUGCAACUCGCCUACAUGAAGUCGGAGUUGCUAGUAACCGCAGGACAGCUAUACUGCGGUGAAUACGUUCCCGGGGCUUGUACACACCGCCCGUCACGUCAUGGGAGCUGGCAACACCUGAAGCCGGUAUCCUAACCGUAAGGAGGGAGCCGUCAAAGGUGGGG